AACGAACGCUGGCGGCAUGCCUAACACAUGCAAGUCGAACGAGACCUUCGGGUCUAGUGGCGCACGGGUGCGUAACGCGUGGGAACCUGCCCUUAGGUUCGGAAUAACUCCCCGAAAGGGGUGCUAAUACCGGAUAAUGUCUUCGGACCAAAGAUUUAUCGCCUUUGGAUGGGCCCGCGUUGGAUUAGCUAGUUGGUAGGGUAAAAGCCUACCAAGGCGACGAUCCAUAGCUGGCCUGAGAGGAUGAUCAGCCACACUGGGACUGAGACACGGCCCAGACUCCUACGGGAGGCAGCAGUGGGGAAUAUUGGACAAUGGGCGAAGGCCUGAUCCAGCAAUGCCGCGUGAGUGAUGAAGGCCUUAGGGUUGUAAAGCUCUUUUACCCGGGAUGAUAAUGACAGUACCGGGAGAAUAAGCGCCGGCUAACUCCGUG
RNAcentral lists this ribosomal RNA (433 nucleotides) under uncultured bacterium. RNAcentral's name for it is "partial 16S ribosomal RNA". It matches the Rfam family "Bacterial small subunit ribosomal RNA", at positions 29 to 507 of the family's 1533-position model. The record is from RNAcentral.